GAAUAUUUUUUGAUAGUAUAAAUAGACGUAUGGUGAAUCAAUCAUAAUACGUGGGUGAGAGUUGCCCGGUAUUGGCGGCGUUGAAGCCCUGGUCUCAUGCAAUAGAACCUGUGAACCGUGUCAGGUCGGGAACGAAGCAGCACUAAGCAGUAACUUCUAUGUGCCAUGAGGUGACCUGGGUGGAGCGGCCUUUACCGGGCAGCUCUUACGAAAAACGAAUAUUC
Molecule: signal recognition particle RNA, 224 nt
Filed under: Lachnospiraceae bacterium
Lineage: Bacteria; Bacillati; Bacillota; Clostridia; Lachnospirales; Lachnospiraceae
Description: signal recognition particle sRNA large type
Rfam family: Bacterial large signal recognition particle RNA (bases 57-205)
About the family: The signal recognition particle (SRP) is a universally conserved ribonucleoprotein involved in the co-translational targeting of proteins to membranes. Archaeal SRP consists of a 7S RNA and homologues of the eukaryotic SRP19 and SRP54 proteins. In most bacteria, the SRP consists of a 4.5S RNA and the Ffh protein (a homologue of the eukaryotic SRP54 protein).
Source: RNAcentral